This 339-nucleotide unclassified non-coding RNA is filed under the name soil metagenome. RNAcentral's name for it is "partial contains 5.8S ribosomal RNA, internal transcribed spacer 2, and large subunit ribosomal RNA". The stretch from base 1 to 120 matches the Rfam family "5.8S ribosomal RNA", at positions 35 to 154 of the family's 154-position model. The record is from RNAcentral.
GAUGAAGAACGUAGCGAAAUGCGAUAAGUAAUGUGAAUUGCAGAAUUCAGUGAAUCAUCGAAUCUUUGAACGCACAUUGCGCCCCUUGGUAUUCCGAGGGGCAUGCCUGUUCGAGCGUCAUUAUCACCCCUCAAGCGCUUGCUUGGUGUUGGGGCGUGCCCUCGCGGGGGCAGCCCUCAAAAUCAGUGGCGGCAGCCGCCUGGCUCCGAGCGUAGUAACUUUACUCCUCGCUAUGGUGCCGGUGCGGGUCGUUGGCCAUCAACCCUCCACGUCCACGACGAUUGACCUCGGAUCAGGUAGGGAUACCCGCUGAACUUAAGCAUAUCAAUAAGCGGAGGA